This 482-nucleotide ribosomal RNA is filed under the name uncultured bacterium. Its description in RNAcentral is "partial 16S ribosomal RNA". It matches the Rfam family "Bacterial small subunit ribosomal RNA", at positions 30 to 507 of the family's 1533-position model. The record is from RNAcentral.
AUUGAACGCUGGCGGCAUGCCUUACACAUGCAAGUCGAACGGUAACGGGCCUUCGGGUGCCGACGAGUGGCGAACGGGUGAGUAAUACAUCGGAACGUGCCCGAUCGUGGGGGAUAACGAGGCGAAAGCUUUGCUAAUACCGCAUACGAUCUACGGAUGAAAGCAGGGGACCGCAAGGCCUUGCGCGGACGGAGCGGCCGAUGGCAGAUUAGGUAGUUGGUGGGAUAAAAGCUUACCAAGCCGACGAUCUGUAGCUGGUCUGAGAGGAUGAUCAGCCACACUGGGACUGAGACACGGCCCAGACUCCUACGGGAGGCAGCAGUGGGGAAUUUUGGACAAUGGGCGCAAGCCUGAUCCAGCCAUGCCGCGUGCAGGAUGAAGGUCUUCGGGUUGUAAACUGCUUUUGUACGGAACGAAAAGCCUUCUUUUAAUACAGGAGGGUCAUGACGGUACCGUAAGAAUAAGCACCGGCUAACUACGUG